Molecule: long non-coding RNA, 518 nt
Organism: Gigantopelta aegis
Lineage: Eukaryota; Metazoa; Mollusca; Gastropoda; Neomphalida; Peltospiridae
Exons: 3
Source: RefSeq, a predicted model, not a curated record
GCUCCAGCAGCACGCUGGUCGAAGUGAGAAGGAAAAUCCAUAAAACCUUUGUGUCCUGCUUUGAGAAGGGAUUCAUUUUUCUGCACAAGAACAGUGAGGUACUUCGGUCACGAGAAAGAAUCAUCCGCGUCUUUGACAUCCUUCCAAAACCACCACGUCGAGAUUUGAAGCCUUCAUUCAAAUUUCCAGAUGUUCAGUAUAAAAAGAUCUCCUAUGAAAGAGACGGGCGUCGAUUCUGGUCGGUGUGUGCUGGCGUUAUAUUUCUGUUUGAAGACAGCGGUCUGUGUCAGUGGUCGCCAGGCGAUCUUCAGACCUACUUAGGUGGGACAACGACCGAGGCAUUCUCCUUUAUCCCCUUUACCGUGACCAGUGUGGAUAGCACUAACACAGAUAUUCCACUAGAUAAACUAAAUUUCGCUGCUUCAAGAGGAAACUUGACUGUCCUUCGAGAUGUUCUUCAGAAUCUACCAAAAGAGACAGAUCCACGUCAUCUCAAAGAUUCGCGUCAAGCCACACCC